This 1000-nucleotide ribosomal RNA is filed under the name Triticum aestivum (bread wheat). RNAcentral describes it as "partial small subunit ribosomal RNA". The record is from RNAcentral. Lineage: Eukaryota; Viridiplantae; Streptophyta; Magnoliopsida; Poales; Poaceae.
GGCCUUGAGUGUGUGCGUGCAUAAGGCAGGUGGAGGAGGGGUUGGAAACGUCGCCGCCCGAAGAAGAAGGGAGGACGACGCGCCGCCACUACGCCAGCUUGAGCAGCCUUUCGAAGGACUGCGCGAGGUACCGGAGGCGGGACUACGUAGUAGGCGCGGGUCGGCGGCGGAGCGCAAGGAAGCACGGGCCGGCAGCGGCUGCUCCGCCUCCUCGGUCCGCUUCCCCUUCAGGGAGGUCCCAGCCGCGUCAUCCGCUCGCGGCGCAUCCGCAGCCACCGCGACUACUCCUGUACCUGCUCCCUCCACCUCUCCUGCUGGGGGCCGGCAUGGGUACGGCGGGCGCCUUCCGGAACCACUCGCGCUGCCCCUCCUUCUGUGUCUGCUGUGACAGCUCCUCCUCACCCUCAUCCCUCGGGCAGAAGUCGGCGUAGCAGCGUCGGUGCAACACCGUCCACCGAGGGAUGGACCCGCGAGAGGGGGCGAGGCCGCGGCGUUAGUUCGGGCUUAGUCGCGGAAGGAAGCAGCAGCUAGACGCCGGGGAAGUGUGCGCACCAGACGGGCUGCGCGCCGGAGGCGUGCGACGUGACCAGCUCAGGAAGAGCCAAAAGAUGACGAUAUGGAGCGUAGUUCUUCUAGAAGCUACCCAAAGUAUUAGGAUAGACCUAGACCCUUGUAUAGUUCACCAUACCUUCUAAUCCAGCAGGGCACUACGCCCGAGGGCGCUCGGCAACCUAGAGUCUAAUUCUCCCUAACUUCCCUCUAUUCCCGCCAAACUAUACGGAAAAAGCUUCGGCUACGACCUAUAUGGAAAUGUCGCCUACUUCUACUAGGUCGACCCAGUACAUUUAAAAACUAUGUAGACGAAGUAUACACUUAAAGAAUAAUUAAAAACGUACCCAAUCAAACGACGUUUUCCAACAUAAAACUUAACUUGAUGCUUAAAACAAAAACCAAGUACAACACCCGUGCUGCUACUUACCUACAUUUAGGAAACCUUUUG